Molecule: ribosomal RNA, 59 nt
Filed under: Camellia hongkongensis
Lineage: Eukaryota; Viridiplantae; Streptophyta; Magnoliopsida; Ericales; Theaceae
Description: partial 26S ribosomal RNA
Source: RNAcentral
UCGCGACCCAGGUCAGGCGGGAUUUCCCGCUGAGUUUAAGCAUAUCAAUAAGCGGAGGA